Long non-coding RNA from Pieris napi, 127 nucleotides. RefSeq lists it as uncharacterized. The record is from RefSeq and is a predicted model, not a curated record. NCBI's taxonomy places the organism in Eukaryota, Metazoa, Arthropoda, Insecta, Lepidoptera, Pieridae. The transcript is spliced from 2 exons.
UUCGCGAAAUUCGCACCGAUGAGAGUGAAGUUACAGGCAUGGACGUGUUUUCGCGCUCGUUAGUGGGGUACAUUCGGACAGCACUAGAUGGGGCACAUUUGAACGAAUUGUACAACUAAAUUUGUAU